This 1566-nucleotide long non-coding RNA is filed under the name Podarcis muralis (Common wall lizard). RNAcentral describes it as "lncRNA (ENSPMRG00000001662.1)". The record is from RNAcentral. Lineage: Eukaryota; Metazoa; Chordata; Lepidosauria; Squamata; Lacertidae.
AUGGCGCCAAAGAGGAAAGCUCCUGCCAAGAAUCCCACUUCUAAGGCAAAGCGUCCUACCUCAAGCAAUCGGGAGUCGCGUAAGGAGGAUUCUGAUCCUAAAACCAUGUCUCAAUUAUUUAAUGCUUUCAGGUGUUUUAUAGAUGAUUUUGAACAACGUAUUGCUAACCGUUCGCCAAGGUCCUCCCCUUCUCCUAGUUUUAUUCCUGACACGGCGCCUGAUCCCUCAUCCCUCGAUGGUGAGCUGCCUGGCACAUCUGCGUCAUUAUUUAACGAAUCCCAAUUCGCAAGUCCAAGUACGCAGGCUAUGUUGUCAGCUAAUCAACCUCCACAGACUCGUGCAAGGUCCCGAAUGGCCCACACCUUGUCAGCAGCAACACGUGCUUCAGGUCGGUCGGCUUCUGCUCCACCCAAUAACAUGUCUAUGUCUCAGUCUUCUUCUAGUCUUCUUCAGAGCUCUCAGCCAGGGGUUCAGCUUCCUGAGUCUGACAUCUCUGAUGGUGAGGAGUUGCAGCUUCAGGCAUCAGACAAGCAACAGCCCACCACAACAGAUAAGCCAGCAGGGAAGAGACGCUCCAAGAAGAAACACGUUUACGAGAAGUCUAGAUCGCGGGAUACGGAUGAGGAGUCAGAUGAACUGCUUCCACUUAGCAUCUUCGGCCCAGCAGCUGCCGGAACCUUUCUCGGACCACCUCUGGAGCAUUGGAAAUGCGAAGUUAUCAAGGGAGUAUUAGCCUCACUGGAACCUUCUACUCUCAGGUUGUAUAAGAAAGCCUGGUGCGAUUUCCUGGAUUUCAGAUCCAAGGUUUCAGCUCUGGCCCCCAAUAUCCCGCCCACUACUGAUCACGUGUUACAUUACCUAGCGCACCUGCAUAUGUUGGGACUUGCAGCAGAAACCAUAAGAAUUCAUUCGGCUGCCAUCAGCUUUUUUAGCCAAUUUAUAUUCUCAGCUGACCCUUGUGCUGAUUUUAUCGUUCAUAUGGCAAUUAAGGGCUGGGGCAGACUCCAACCUGCAAAAGGAAAGCCGAUAACAUUUGAUCUCUUCUGCCUGAUACGCCAGAAACUUAGGUCAAUAUGUUGGUCAAAAUAUGAAGCACGUUUGUUUUCCGCGGCAUUCUCCAUUGCCGCCUUCGGAGCCCUGAGCGUUGGCGAGGUUGUGUUUGAGGCCCAGCCAGAUGGUUCCUCUUGUGGCCUCCACUUAAAUGACAUACAAUUAUCUGACUCUGAGUUAAUAAUAUGCAUUCAGCGGUCAAAAACUGACCAACAGGGAAAAGGUGUCCCAAUCAGACUUUCUGCUUAUGAAAACCAGGGUCCAUGCCCAGUAAAAGACACUAGGCGGUACUUAUAUCUUAGACCACCUGGCCGUGGCCCUUUACUCAUACACGAGGAUGGUUCCUGCUUGAAGAGGCAUCAGUUCACGCAAGUAUUGCGCAAAGCGAUUGAUGCCUGUGGUUUCCCUGCAGAGGAAUAUGCUGCCGACUCUUUCAGGAUUGGGGCCGCCGCAAUGGCUGGCCCUUUAGGCCACCCAACAAAUAGAAUCAGGAAUGCAUUGAAAUGGUACAUAUGA